UUUUCAAAAUCCUCCACCUUGGCUACCACCGCGUGUGGCGGUGCGUGGGACCGUCCACGAGUGUUAUCUAAGUACUACAUACCUUCUAGUGGCCCUAUAAACCUAUGUCUAGCUCGGUUUCCCGAAAUUCAAUUGUUUGAUAUGGUGAUCAAAUUGGACCACCACUUGUUUGUAUGAUUGACGACAACAAUUUUGUGAACACCUUAGUUAUCAGUUGUUAGACCUUUGAGAACUUACGGAUCUGAAAUCCGAUGUGCAGAUCUUCCGAUUUGAAUAACCUUAGAUUGUUGAUCUUAAUGGACCGACCUUAUCGACG
Molecule: long non-coding RNA, 316 nt
Filed under: Malus domestica (apple)
Lineage: Eukaryota; Viridiplantae; Streptophyta; Magnoliopsida; Rosales; Rosaceae
Description: long non-coding RNA (MDOM_LNC003595)
Source: RNAcentral